Diabrotica virgifera virgifera (western corn rootworm) is the source of this 414-nucleotide long non-coding RNA. RefSeq lists it as uncharacterized. Lineage: Eukaryota; Metazoa; Arthropoda; Insecta; Coleoptera; Chrysomelidae. The record is from RefSeq and is a predicted model, not a curated record. The transcript is spliced from 2 exons.
UUUAACUUUAGUUUUUCAUAUUAACUUUAACGUCAUACCAAUUAGUUAACUACAUAUGACAACUUAGUCAUUUUCAAAAAUUUUAAAUAAUUUUAAUAACACAGAUGUCGCUAGGAACUAUUGUUUCCGUCAGCAGGCUGUCGUUUUGAAUAUUGUCAGUAACAGCUGUUCUUUGUACGAAUGGUGGCCAUUUUGUAAAAAUAAAAAAAAAACACAUUAAAUGUGAUUUUUAACAUUUAAGGGUUUUUUACCCUAACCAGUGGUUAUAUCCCUGGGUUAAUUUUUAAAAUAUAGAAUGUGUUUGUUCGAAGUUUUCUCUUCUUUUGAGGUUUUUACACCUAUAAGACGAUAGCUCUGAUGAUGGCAUUAAUAUGCUGAAAGUACUUAGCUGAUUUAAUAAAUUAAUUUACACAC